AUGACUAUAUGCUCUAUAUUAUACCUGCAGAUCAUCACAGCAGCCGAAGUUGCUGUGCAGAGGGAGGAGAUCGUCCGAGCAUCAGGCCUCAUCCCGUCACAUAGGGAGGGUAUCCUCCAAACAGCCAGUGUCCCUGCACAGAGGGAGGGGAUUCUCUCAGCAGCCAGCAUCAAUGCACAGAGGGAGGAGAUCCUCAUUUCGUCAGGCCUCAUCACUGCACAGAGGGAGGGGAUCCUCCAAACAGCCAGUGUCCCUGCACAGAGGGAGGGGAUUCUCUCAGCAGCCAGCAUCAAUGCACAGAGGGAGGAGAUCCUCAUUUCGUCAGGCCUCAUCACUGCACAGAGGGAGGGGAUCCUCCAAACAGCCAGUGUCCCUGCACAGAGUGAGGGGGUCCUCCAAACAGCCAGUGUCCCUGCACAGAGUGAGGGGAUCCUCCAAACAGCCAGUGUCCCUGCACAGAGUGAGGAGAUCCUCCAAACAGCCAGUGUCCCUGCACAGAGUGAGGAGAUCCUCCAAACAGCCAGUGUCCCUGCACAGAGGGAGGGGAUUCUCUCAGCCGCCAGCAUCAAUGCACAGAGGGAGGAGAUCCUCAUUUCGUCAGGCCUCAUCACUGCACAGAGGGAGGGGAUCCUCCAAACAGCCAGUGUCCCUGCACAGAGGGAGGGGAUUCUCUCAGCCGCCAGCAUCAAUGCACAGAGGGAGGAGAUACUCCGAUCAUCAGGCCUCAUCCCUGCACGGAGGGAAGGGAUCCUCCAAACAGCCAGUGUCACUGCGCAGAGGGAGGGAAUCGUCCCAAUGGCCAGCGUCCCUGCGCACAGGGAGGGGAUUGUACCAAAGACUAGUGUUCCUGCUGAGAGGGAGGAGAUCCUCCAAACAGCCAGUGUCCCUGCACAGAGGGAGGGGAUUCUCCAAACAUCAAGUGUCCCUGCACCAAGGGAGGAGAUUCACCAGUCAGCCAUUGUCCCUGCACAGAGGGAGGGGGUUCUCCGAGCAGCUAGCAUCACUGCGCAGAGGGAGGAGAUCUUCAGAGCAUCAGGCCUCAUCCCUGCACAUAGGAAGGGGCUCCUCCGAGCAUCAGGCCUCAUCCCUGCACAGAGGGAGGGGAUUCUUCCAGCAGCUUCUUCCAUCAGCUACUAUCAGAAGAAUAAGCUCCUCAGAGCAUCACAACUCACCCCUGCACAAAGGAAGUUGAGAUUCCUGAUAGCCAGUGUCACUGCGCAGAGGAAGGGAAUCUUCCCAAAGGCCAGCGUCCCUGCGCACAGGGAGUGGAUUGUCCCAAAGGCUAGUGUCCCUGCAGAGAGGGAGGAGAUCCUCCUCACAGCCAGUGUCCCUGUGAUGAAUGAAAACAAUCAUGCACAACCACCUCCCAUCAUCCCCAUGGUGGCACCACUGUGGAAAAUGAUUGGUGGAACGUGUCCUCCACCUGUGGAUUUCUAUUCCAAGAGAAGAGAUGUCCGACUUAGAUAUGUUGAGCAUCCUGCUAUGAUGUCCAUCACCAAGCCGGAACACUCUGAUGCCAACCCUCAGUUCCAGACUGGCAGCCGGCCGGUGGCCGAGCCCGAGACCCCUGCUGUUCACAAUAACAGUGGAGGCUGGCUCAGCUGGGUCUUUGGGAGUGGAAGAGCUAAGAAGGAGGUUCAUCUACCUGAGGACAAAGACAGAUCUAUUGUCUGGGAUCCAACUCUGCACAGAUGGGUUAACAGAACUGAGCCCAAGGUUGAGAACAAGUGUGUACCACCUCCACCGAUGGGGACAUAUGGAUAUCAGGGGAACACUGGCAGUGUCCCCAAAGGAGUAAAUCCUUACUCUAUGAAAGCAGCAGGUCUAUGGGGCAGCAGAUACCCUACAAUGAAUUACAAUGAUAGGACCAACUCAAAGCCUCCAAGCCAUGGGCCUGGACUGCUUACUAGACAGCUCUCUGGCUUGCUCCCUCCUUCACACUUUGACCUCAUGGCACCAAUGGUUGUGCCACCUGACACUCUACCCUACUGAGGUGCGAGGGCCAUCCUGUGCCACCAGUCAAUUGAUGGUGGAUGACCUUCUGACCCCGUGCUCGCCAGGUGACCCGGCUGCCAUAGAAUUGACCUGGAUGGAUGUGCCUAGCGACAAGCUGCUGUAGCCCAUCUGCAUGUGUCCUGUCAAGCGCCUUUGGAGGGGAGGCGGUAUCACAUCACCAAGGAGCAGCUUGAGUUCCUCAUAGAUUGUCAUAUGACCAUCAGACAAAUGGCAGAUGUUCUCAAUGUGUCGCACUCUGUGGUCAAGUUGCGCAUGAGGUGUAGGAUUGUUAUCCCUGGUGCUGUGGAGGGUUACAGCAGACUUGUUGUGUUUCUGAAGGCCUCUGACAACAACAGGACCGCCACAGUCAUGGAGUCAUUCGAAGCAGCCAUCACCAGCUACGGAACACCAUCCCAGAAACGUACGAUAGACAUCUUCAACUCUAAACGGAUGGGGACCAGAGUUUAGACACAGGUGGCCUUAACAAAAGUUAAGUACUUCCCCAUUCCAGUACGAUUCUGUUUGGUUAUAUUUGGAGAGAGUCAGAGACUGUUAAGAUAUACGGCCGAUGGUUAUUGUAUUUUGCUCUAUUGCGCUUUAGCACAGCAUUCCAUCUGCUGACACAUUAUUUGUCUUCCACUCAGUACAACACGACCCAGGAGAAGCCUACUGCAAGCACUGGUUUGGAACCUUCAGAGCGUGCCUGCUGUGGGAGGACAACAGAACAUUCCGAAUGGACAUUAUUAAAACAGAACUUACAUUUUUGUAAUGCCCAAUCGGGACUUUUAUAAAUUGUUAAAAUAAAUAAUUGUGUGGAGAACGCCCUAUAGUUAAAAAAAUAAACUAUGAAGAUAGUGGUUUGAACUCGUUACAUUUUAUAUAAUUGUGAUUAACAGCAACCUAUUACAGUUAGUAACAUAACAUUGUUGACACAUUGUGACAGCUCAAAUGAUGUGGUUGAAGAUGGACUAGUGCAGGGCUCCUAACCUUGUUCCUGGAGAGCUACUGUCUUGUUGGUUCACUUUGACCCUAAUCUAGUGCACCUGAUUUGAAUAAUUACCUGCUUAAUAAGUUAAUGAGGUUCGUUAAAACUGAGGUUGGAUUGAAAACCUACAGGAGGGUAGCUCUCCAGGAACAGGGUUGGAGAGCCUUGGACUAAUGAAUCUAGUUCUUAGAUCAAUGCAUUUGAAAUUCGAUAAGUCACUACGAAGGUGCAGUUCCCAGAAGUGGAGAUGUCACUUAAUGCAGUGGAUGGGAAGCCUUAUUUCAUGUAGUUCUAAUUAAAUGAUAAUGGUUGAA
Salvelinus fontinalis (brook trout) is the source of this 3294-nucleotide RNA transcript. It is a transcript of the gene named microtubule-actin cross-linking factor 1, isoforms 6/7-like, with no coding region annotated. NCBI's taxonomy places the organism in Eukaryota, Metazoa, Chordata, Actinopteri, Salmoniformes, Salmonidae. The record is from RefSeq and is a predicted model, not a curated record. The transcript is spliced from 9 exons.